This 433-nucleotide ribosomal RNA is filed under the name uncultured bacterium. RNAcentral describes it as "partial 16S ribosomal RNA". It matches the Rfam family "Bacterial small subunit ribosomal RNA", at positions 29 to 507 of the family's 1533-position model. The record is from RNAcentral.
AACGAACGCUGGCGGCAUGCCUAACACAUGCAAGUCGAACGAGACCUUCGGGUCUAGUGGCGCACGGGUGCGUAACGCGUGGGAACCUGCCCUUAGGUUCGGAAUAACUCCCCGAAAGGGGUGCUAAUACCGGAUAAUGUCUUCGGACCAAAGAUUUAUCGCCUUUGGAUGGGCCCGCGUUGGAUUAGCUAGUUGGUAGGGUAAAAGCCUGCCAAGGCGACGAUCCAUAGCUGGUCUGAGAGGAUGAUCAGCCACACUGGGACUGAGACACGGCCCAGACUCCUACGGGAAGCAGCAGUGGGGAAUAUUGGACAAUGGGCGAAAGCCUGAUCCGGCAAUGCCGCGUGAGUGAUGAAGGCCUUAGGGUUGUAAAGCUCUUUUACCCGGGAUGAUAAUGACAGUACCGGGAGAAUAAGCACCGGCUAACUCCGUG